RNAcentral lists this ribosomal RNA (656 nucleotides) under uncultured bacterium. RNAcentral describes it as "bacterial SSU rRNA". It matches the Rfam family "Bacterial small subunit ribosomal RNA", at positions 139 to 788 of the family's 1533-position model. The record is from RNAcentral.
GGGGACAACCAGCCGAAAGGUUGGCUAAUACCGCAUGAGUUCUACGGAAGAAAGAGGGGGACCCGCAAGGGCCUCUCGCGAGCGGAGCGGCCGAUGACUGAUUAGCCGGUUGGUGAGGUAACGGCUCACCAAAGCAACGAUCAGUAGCUGGUCUGAGAGGACGACCAGCCACACUGGGACUGAGACACGGCCCAGACUCCUACGGGAGGCAGCAGUGGGGAAUUUUGGGCAAUGGGCGCAAGCCUGAUCCAGCUAUUCCGCGUGUGGGAUGAAGGCCCUCGGGUUGUAAACCACUUUUGUAGAGAACGAAAAGACACCUUCGAAUAAAGGGUGUUGCUGACGGUACUCUAAGAAUAAGCACCGGCUAACUACGUGCCAGCAGCCGCGGUAAUACGUAGGGUGCGAGCGUUAAUCGGAAUUACUGGGCGUAAAGGGUGCGCAGGCGGUUGAGUAAGACAGAUGUGAAAUCCCCGAGCUUAACUCGGGAAUGGCAUAUGUGACUGCUCGGCUAGAGUGUGUCAGAGGGAGGUGGAAUUCCACGUGUAGCAGUGAAAUGCGUAGAUAUGUGGAAGAACACCGAUGGCGAAGGCAGCCUCCUGGGACAUAACUGACGCUCAGGCACGAAAGCGUGGGGAGCAAACAGGAUUAGAUACCCU